RNAcentral lists this ribosomal RNA (253 nucleotides) under uncultured bacterium. Its description in RNAcentral is "partial 16S ribosomal RNA". It matches the Rfam family "Bacterial small subunit ribosomal RNA", at positions 524 to 776 of the family's 1533-position model. The record is from RNAcentral.
UACGUAGGGAGCGAGCGUUAUCCGGAAUUACUGGGCGUAAAGCGCAUGUAGGCGGUUCUAUAAGUUGGAUGUGAAAGCUUUUGGCUCAACCAAGAGAGGCCAUUCAAAACUGUAGGACUUGAGAGUGAGAGAGGAAAGUGGAAUUCCCGGUGUAGUGGUGAAAUGCGUAGAUAUCGGGAGGAACACCAGAGGCGAAAGCGGCUUUCUGGCUCAUUUCUGACGCUGAGAUGCGAAAGCUAGGGGAGAGAACGGG